Molecule: ribosomal RNA, 471 nt
Filed under: uncultured bacterium
Lineage: Bacteria
Description: bacterial SSU rRNA
Rfam family: Bacterial small subunit ribosomal RNA
Source: RNAcentral
UCGUGGGGCAGCAUGAAUGUAGCAAUACAUUUGAUGGCGACCGGCAAACGGGUGCGGAACACGUACACAACCUCCCGAGAAGUGGGGAAUAGCCCAGAGAAAUUUGGAUUAAUACCCCGUAACAUAACGAUGUGGCAUCACAUUGUUAUUAUAGUUUCGACGCUUCUUGAUGGGUGUGCGGCUGAUUAGAUAGUUGGCGGGGUAACGGCCCACCAAGUCUACGAUCAGUAGCUGAUGUGAGAGCAUGAUCAGCCACACGGGCACUGAGACACGGGCCCGACUCCUACGGGAGGCAGCAGUAAGGAAUAUUGGUCAAUGGACGCAAGUCUGAACCAGCCAUGCCGCGUGAAGGAUUAAGGUCCUCUGGAUUGUAAACUUCUUUUAUCUGGGACGAAAAAAGGCGAUUCUUCGUCACUUGACGGUACCAGAUGAAUAAGCACCGGCUAACUCCGUGCCAGCAGCCGCGGUAAU